AAAACAUCUAAAUAAUCUUUAAUCUAUACAAAAUAGGUUAAAAGAUAAAUAAGCUUAUACUAAUUUAUAAGUAUAAAAUUUUAAGCAGAAAUUAAUACAAAACUGAUUAAAUAUUUUAAUUUGAAACAAUAUAAUAUUAAAUGACUAUUCUAAUAAAAAUGUUAUAAUAUUUUAAACUAUGAUAAUGCAAUAUAAUACUAAUAAAUGCAGUAUAAUGCAAAUAUAACCUAACAUAAUUAUAAGAAGAUAUUUACAAUUUAAAAUUACUUCUAAUAUUUUAUAACAACUAGUAUAUUUAAUAUCUCAAAAUAAAUUUUUAUUCUUUAUAUCAAAAAUUUAAUACCAAAAAGUAGGCUUAAGCAAAUGUAAAAAAAACUAAAAUGAUACUCCAAAAAUACUAUUUCAUCUAAUUUUUAAGAUUUAAAGUAAAAUAAUAAUAGUAUGUAUGGUGCAGUCACAAAUUUCUUUAAAGACCAAAAGCUUAAAAUAUUUAAUAAAAAACUAAAUAAUCAAUUAAUAUGAAUUUAAACAUAAGUAAUGCAAAUAACCUAAAAAUAUAUAAAUGAGUUACAACUUUAUCAUUCCAUUAAAUACUAUUUUCUCCACUAAAGAGGUUUCACUUUCAAAACUCUCAUCAAAAUCUAGUAGUUAUUUAAAACUAAUGUUUAAUUUUAUGAAAAUUAAACAUUCUGAGAUCAUAAGAUUUGCAUCAUUUUUUGUUUGUAACUAUUCUAUAGGCACUUAUUACGAAUCACUCUUGGUCAUUAAUCAUUCCUAAAAAUAAAAAUGAAACCUCUUUAUAUAUAUAACAUACAGUCAGAUGAUUAAAAGGACAAUUAAAUCUCAUCAAAACAAAAGAACCAAAGAGAUAAUAAAGAAUAAAAGACGAAGAAUGGCCAAAGGUGUACAAUUGUUCAUCACUUUUGUGAUGAUCUCCAUGUUAAUAUCAACAGAAACGGUUGGAGCGAGGAAGCCUUUGAUUAAAUGUAUAAGUCUACUAUAUUUUCCCUGCAAUCCACAUGAUAAGGGACAAUGCUUAAGGGCGUGCAAACACAAGUAUAAAAAUACGGAAAUCGGAACUUGCAAAAAAAUCCCACCGCCCCCACCAGGAAUAAGAUUCCUAAAAAUGGCUUGCGAUUGCGAAUACAUGGCCGUUGAAUGCUCAUGAAAAUUAUAAUUCAAUUUACUAUUCAAAUUGAUGAUUAGAUUUGGAUGAAAUUAUUUUACAUAUUUAUAAUUUAAAAUCCAAAAAAUGGAUUUAAUAUUAAGUUUUUAUUAUUUAUUCUUGUACCAAUAAAUAUUUGAUGUUAUAGAUAUGGAGGUUACGUCCUU
Molecule: long non-coding RNA, 1332 nt
Organism: Brassica napus (rape)
Lineage: Eukaryota; Viridiplantae; Streptophyta; Magnoliopsida; Brassicales; Brassicaceae
Exons: 2
Source: RefSeq, a predicted model, not a curated record